This 256-nucleotide ribosomal RNA is filed under the name uncultured bacterium. RNAcentral describes it as "partial 16S ribosomal RNA". It matches the Rfam family "Bacterial small subunit ribosomal RNA", at positions 524 to 776 of the family's 1533-position model. The record is from RNAcentral.
UACGUAGGGGGCAAGCGUUGUCCGGAAUCAUUGGGCGUAAAGAGCGUGUAGGCGGCCAGAAAAGUCCGCUGUGAAAACUCGAGGCUCAAUUCGAUCGAGCUGUCGGUGGAAACUUUCUGGCUAGAGUCCGGAAGAGGAGAAUGGAAUUCCUGGUGUAGCGGUGAAAUGCGCAGAUAUCAGGAAGAACACCCGUGGCGAAGGCGGUUCUCUGGGACGGUACUGACGCUGAGACGCGAAAGCGUGGGGAGCGAACAGG